Molecule: non-coding RNA, 616 nt
Organism: Aegilops tauschii subsp. strangulata
Lineage: Eukaryota; Viridiplantae; Streptophyta; Magnoliopsida; Poales; Poaceae
Source: RefSeq, a predicted model, not a curated record
AUCUAACAUGUGUUCUGAGGAAGUCAGCCUUUACGGUUCAUAUAUGUUCUGGGGCUCAUUGAAAGAAGAACUUAUAUUUUCACUUAACAUGCUUAAUUGUUUCUUGCUAGCUUUGUUGUGAACUUGCUAUGCGCUUAUGUCGAUUUGCUUUGCUUCCGGUUUCCCUCAUGCAAGAGAAGCACAAGAUGAUGAUGAGUGAGAUGGUAACCAAGCUGACUAAUGUGUGCUGGGACAAAUGCAUAACCAGCACCCCAGGAAGCAAGUUCAGCUCCGGUGAAACUACCUGCCUGACCAAUUGCGCUCAGAGGUACCUUGACAUGACCGUGAUAAUUGCGAAGAGGUUUGAGAUGCAGUAGGGCGUCUCCAACUUCAGCCGGUUGCGUCAUCAAAAAGUUUCCAAACUCCGAGCUUCCUUUGAACAUGCCAACAAUGGCGAGUUUUAACAGUGAAAAUAUUUAAUCUUCUGUCGUAAACGCUUGGUUAGUAGUUGUAUCUGUGGUGAACCUUGAUGUGUUUAGCUUUCUUGUGAAGCUACUGUCAUUUGAUUCUCUGAUCAUUUAGUUGGUUUCGUUUUAAGUCAAUCAAUAUGAAGUCUGGCAACAAGUCAUGAAAUUAA